Molecule: ribosomal RNA, 248 nt
Filed under: uncultured bacterium
Lineage: Bacteria
Description: partial 16S ribosomal RNA
Rfam family: Bacterial small subunit ribosomal RNA
Source: RNAcentral
UACGUAGGGGGCAAGCGUUGUCCGGAAUCAUUGGGCGUAAAGAGCGUGUAGGCGGUCCGGUAAGUCGGUUGUGAAAGCCCAGGGCUCAACCCUGGGAUGCCGACCGAUACUGUCGGACUAGAGUUCGGAAGAGGCGAGUGGAAUUCCCGGUGUAGCGGUGAAAUGCGCAGAUAUCGGGAGGAACACCUAGGGCGAAGGCAGCUCGCUGGGACGUGACUGACGCUGAGACGCGAAAGCGUGGGGAGCAA